RNAcentral lists this transfer RNA (70 nucleotides) under Acrocarpospora macrocephala. Its description in RNAcentral is "tRNA-Asp". Lineage: Bacteria; Bacillati; Actinomycetota; Actinomycetes; Streptosporangiales; Streptosporangiaceae. The record is from RNAcentral.
UGCUGGCCGAGCUGCUGGGCGAGCACGGCGAUGUCAUCGCCGCGACGCCGAUCGCGUCGGUAGCCGACGA